UUGAGGUGGAGGCGGGACAUAGAAGGUGUACUACCUCCUUGGUGUGUGUGUAGAAAGACACAGCGAGGUCCAGCAGCAGCUUCCUCUGUUCAACUCUCUGAAUGAACGCCUGCACACACACACACACACACAAUGAGAACACUUCCUGUAGCUGUCCUUCAGAAUAAAAGCCCCCCUGGUAUUUGUUCACCUGCAUGCGGAGCUCCAGGUCUCUGGCCGCCUGGUAGAUCUCUUCCUCCUUACACUCUCCAGACUGAGCCAGCUGAUCGGCUGCUUCCAGAAGCUUCUCUGCAUUAGUGUAGGUGUUCUGUGACACACACACAUCAGUUCGUGCAGGUCUGGGUAGCGUUCAGGUAGUCCGGGUCUAGGUGGGGUUCAGGUAGUCCAGGUCUGGGUAGCGUUCAGGUAGUCCGGUCUAGGUGGGGUUCAGGUAGUCCAGGUCUGGGUAGCGUUCAGGUAGUCCGGUCUAGGUGGGGUUCAGGUAGUCCAGGUCUAGGUAGGGUUCAGGUAGUCCAGGUCUGGGUAGCGUUCAGGUAGUCCAGGUCUAGGUAUCAUUCAGGUAGUCCAGGUCUAGGUAUCAUUCAGGUAGUCCAGGUCUAGGUGGUGUGUAGGUAGUCCAGGUCUGGGUAGCAUCCAGGUAGUCCGGGUCUAGGUAGGGUUCAGGUAGUCCAGGUCUAGGUAUCAUUCAGGUAGUCCAGGUCUGGGUAGCGUUCAGGUAGUCCGGGUCUCGGUGGGGUUCAGGUAGUCCAGGUCUAGGUAGCAUUCAGGUAGUCCGGGUCUAGGUAGGGUUCAGGUAGUCCAGGUCUAGGUAGCGUCCGGUAGUACAGGUCUAGGUUGGGUUCAGGUAGUCCAGGUCUAGGUGGUGUUCAGGUAGUCCAGGUCUAGGUGGGGUUCAGGUAGUCCAGGUCUAGGUGGGGUUCAGGUAGUCCAGGUCUAGGUGGGGUUCAGGUAGUCCAGGUCUAGGUGGGGUUCAGGUAGUCCGGGGCUAGUUAGUCCACGUCUAGUUGGGGUUUACCUGUGCAACCUGCUGGAAGUCGUCAUGGCGUUUCUGCAGCGCUCGUGCCCGGUGAAGAGACUUCCCCACGCCACUGUGUUUGUUCAGGAAAACCUCCCCGUGCUGCUCCACCCAGUCCAACACCUGAGACCGGUGGAGAAAGAGAGAGACAGGUGGGGCAACUGGCCUCUGAAUACAAGGUGUAGAGUCUGGAUAUGGAUCCGUCGUACCUGUCUGACAUCUUGCUGAAAAACACACAGUUGCAGGCGCUGAUGGAGGCGGAGUUUACGGUGCUGCCACACCCCCUCCACCUCUUGGUGACCCUGCAGAUGACAAAAAGCUCACGUGAGUCCACCUGCCUGUCUGCUGGUCACAUGUGAGACACAUCACCACGAGCCGUACCUGCAUGACCUGGUGCAGAGCUCCCAUGAUGCCGUGCGUGGCGUUGGCGAGAUCCGGCCUGGUUGUGGGGUUGUCGGAGUCGGUUGCUGGGCAACGCUGGAGUACGUCCAUUAAGGCCUUACCGCUCUCACUAACCUGCACGCAAAGAAAGAGACAGGUAUGCAGACAGACAGGUGUUGAUAGAGACAGGUACCUGUGUGUAGUUAGCAGAGAUCUCCUCGUUCAGCUCCUGAUGUUUCUUCGUCGCGGCCUCCAGCUCUGUUGCCGCCGAGGGCAACGCCCCCUCAGAGCACACCUGGACCCAGCCCUCCAAUCUGAGCAGGAACUGGACAGAGAGGCAGACGGGUGAGUGGGGAUACCCAGGCGGGUCGUGGCAUGACAGACAGGUAUAAAGGUUAGAGGUGAGACAGGUAGACACGGGCAUGAGACAGGUGCCUCGCUGUUGCGUAAUAACCUGCUCGGCCCCCUGGUGGAAGCUAGUUGCCAUGGCGAGCGUGUUGCUGCGCUCUUCCAGCGCCG
Gasterosteus aculeatus aculeatus (three-spined stickleback) is the source of this 1915-nucleotide long non-coding RNA. NCBI's taxonomy places the organism in Eukaryota, Metazoa, Chordata, Actinopteri, Perciformes, Gasterosteidae. The record is from Ensembl.